AUGUACUUCAACACAUGGAUUCACCUUAACCUAUUCUUCUGUUGUCAUUUGUCUCCAUAUAUUGACAGACUGCCAGGCCAUCUCUACUGCUCCCCCAGGCUAAGACCAUCUCUUCCCUCACCAAGGCACGUGGGUUCCCUGACAGGGGGUGAAAGAAAGAUAUAGGUUAGUGAUGCAGGAGUAGCCUCCAGAAAUCUUCCUCUAGCAACAGAAUCAGCACUGACCCAAGUACAACUAUAACCCAGUGAAAUUCCUGCUGAGUGCCUUUCUCUGAUGGAGAUGGACAGCUUGUGAGGGGACCCAAUUUGGCUCAGAAGCACCCCCAGAUGAAAAAGUGAGAGAUAUUUCUCUAUUGUCAUGAUUCUCUGUGAGUCAGCAUACAGGAUUCUGUUGGGGAAGCCCUUUCUGCAGAUCCUGAUGCCUUCCAGCACACCGUUACAGCGCAGCUGGUGCAUGACCAGAGGAUUCUCCAUGGCCCCAGGAGUCUUGGUCUCGUUGGGGAUGAUGCAACGCACAAAGUGGGGGUCCAGCCUCUUGCAUUGGGUGAAUUCCUGUCUGGGACAGCAAGCAUGACCACACACAAGAGAGAUGCUGAUUCCUUUUUCUUUUAAGUUCCUUCUUCCCUCAACAUCUGCACAUCAGCCCCAACCAGGAGGCUCCAACCAAAAAAUUAUUAAAAAUGUGGGCCCAGUGUACACUUGUAGAUCACCUUCAAUGUAGUCUCAGGAUAGUGUUUUCUUUCCACAGGGACCACAGAAGCAUCUGAGCAGGAUAAUAUAACAGGUAAUGUAUCGUUAUUCUGAAAGGUAUAUUUUACCUCACUUCAAAAAUAUUAAGAAGGAAUACAAUCUGAUACUUUUAAUAUAACACUACUACUCACAACCAUUUUAUGGCCAAUUCACUAUUCUAGGUCAUUCUUGGAGUUGCCCCAACCUCCAGUCAAUAACUGUGUAGAACAUUUGCAUUGUGUAGAAUUUUGCAUUGUAUGGACUUCUUGCUUUAUUUGACAAAGAACAACAUUUAGUCUCUAGUGUAGCAUUGCUAAGCAAGUGCACCUCUUGUUCUGAAUGUACACUGCCUUCACUAUUAUUAUUAUGAUUAUUGAGUUCUCUAACUGGUUAGCAUUACUCAAAUUGAUUUCAAUAGAAUAUUGUCAUAGAAUAAUGUUGUCAUAUGUAUUCAAAGCUGUUAACAAGACACUGUUUGAAUACAGUGGUCUAAAAUGUAAGUACACUUCGGAUGAUGCAGAUAUGGAGGCUAAAUUGUAAUGACACGAAAAGGGUUACUGUUCAAGACAAUGUAUAGAUACGGUCACACCUUUACCAUUGUUGAUGGCAAGAAUACAAAUUUCCCUCCCUCAUAUUCAUAGUGUCAUCUUUGUUUGGUAUAUAAAAUUGGUAAAUAACCCAAUUCAAUUUGAGACACACUGUAACUAUUACUCACAAUGUUAUCAAAACUUAAGCGAGGUGUUAAAUGUUUGUCUUUUACUAUGAUACCAUUUGACGUAUGUUAUCUGUAUUUUUUUUAAAUUAAAAUCAGUGUUUUUUUAUAUAAUUGUGUUAAAUAAUAGUGCAUUUUAUUCUUCCAAAAUGUCUAGAAAUCCUAUUCAUAAUGGCAUCAACACCAACCUUGAUAUACCUUUGGCACAAAAGGUAACAUUUUACAAGCAAUAUACAGAGAUGCAAUUUAAAUGUACUUUAUUAUUUAUUCUGCUCAGUAACAUUUAGAAAAAUUAAAUAAAUAAAGUCAAGAGAUUUUCAGAGAAAUCCA
This is a long non-coding RNA of Oncorhynchus kisutch (coho salmon), 1770 nucleotides long. RefSeq lists it as uncharacterized. The record is from RefSeq and is a predicted model, not a curated record. NCBI's taxonomy places the organism in Eukaryota, Metazoa, Chordata, Actinopteri, Salmoniformes, Salmonidae. The transcript has 6 exons.